GACGAACGCUGGCGGCGUGCUUAACACAUGCAAGUCGAACGGAAAGGCCCUGCUUUUGUGGGGUGCUCGAGUGGCGAACGGGUGAGUAACACGUGUGUAUCCUGCACUUGACUUUGGGAUAACUUCAGGAAACUGGGGCUAAUAUCGGAUAGGAGCUCUUGAUGCAUGGUGGGGGUUGGAGAGUGUCGGCGGUUGGAGCUGGUCUCGCGGGUUAUGAGCUGGUUGGUGAGGUAGUUGCUUUCCAAGGUUUCGACGGGUAGCCUGCAUGAGAGGGUGAACGGCGACAAUGGGACUGAGGGACGGCGCAGACUGCAACGGGAGGCAGCAGGGGAAAAGAUUACAGAGUGGGCGGAAGCCUGAGGCAAAAACGCCGGGAGCGGGAAACCGGCCUUCGGGUUGUAAACAGAUUUGGACGGUGACGAAGCGUGAGUGACGGUAAUGGGUAAAGAAGCACCGGCUAACUACGUG
Molecule: ribosomal RNA, 468 nt
Filed under: uncultured bacterium
Lineage: Bacteria
Description: partial 16S ribosomal RNA
Rfam family: Bacterial small subunit ribosomal RNA
Source: RNAcentral